CGCAAGGAGGCAGCUAACCACGGUAGGGUCAGCGACUGGGGUGAAGUCGUAACAAGGUAGCCGUAGGGGAACCUGCGGCUGGAUCACCUCCUUUCUAAGG
RNAcentral lists this ribosomal RNA (100 nucleotides) under Agrobacterium tumefaciens. RNAcentral's name for it is "partial 16S ribosomal RNA". It matches the Rfam family "Bacterial small subunit ribosomal RNA", at positions 1440 to 1533 of the family's 1533-position model. Lineage: Bacteria; Pseudomonadati; Pseudomonadota; Alphaproteobacteria; Hyphomicrobiales; Rhizobiaceae. The record is from RNAcentral.